GACGAACGCUGGCGGCGUGCCUAAUACAUGCAAGUAGAACGCUGAAGAGAGGAGCUUGCUCUUCUUGGAUGAGUUGCGAACGGGUGAGUAACGCGUAGGUAACCUGCCUUGUAGCGGGGGAUAACUAUUGGAAACGAUAGCUAAUACCGCAUAACAAUGGAUGACACAUGUCAUUUACUUGAAAGGGGCAAUUGUUCCACUACAAGAUGGACCUGCGUUGUAUUAGCUAGUAGGUGAGGUAAUGGCUCACCUAGGCGACGAUACAUAGCCGACCUGAGAGGGUGAUCGGCCACACUGGGACUGAGACACGGCCCAGACUCCUACGGGAGGCAGCAGUAGGGAAUCUUCGGCAAUGGGGGCAACCCUGACCGAGCAACGCCGCGUGAGUGAAGAAGGUUUUCGGAUCGUAAAGCUCUGUUGUAAGUCAAGAACGGGUGUGAGAGUGGAAAGUUCACACUGUGACGGUAGCUUACCAGAAAGGGACGGCUAACUACGUG
RNAcentral lists this ribosomal RNA (497 nucleotides) under uncultured bacterium. RNAcentral's name for it is "partial 16S ribosomal RNA". It matches the Rfam family "Bacterial small subunit ribosomal RNA", at positions 28 to 507 of the family's 1533-position model. The record is from RNAcentral.